RNAcentral lists this ribosomal RNA (797 nucleotides) under uncultured bacterium. RNAcentral's name for it is "bacterial SSU rRNA". It matches the Rfam family "Bacterial small subunit ribosomal RNA", at positions 8 to 796 of the family's 1533-position model. The record is from RNAcentral.
AGAGUUUGAUCAUGGCUCAGAACGAACGUUAGCGGUGUGGAUUAGGCAUGCAAGUCGUGCGCGAAAGCCGCAAGGCGAGUAGAGCGGCGAAAGGGUGAGUAACACGUAACCAACCUACCCCUCAGACCGGAAUAACCGCUGGAAACGGCGGAUAAUGCUGGAUGUUCCCGAUGGAAGGCAUCUUCUGUCUGGCAAAUGGUGGCGCAAGCUGCCGCUGUGGGAGGGGGUUGCGGGCUAUCAGCUAGUUGGCGGGGUAAUGGCCCACCAAGGCGAUGACGGCUACCGGGUCUGAGAGGACGGUCCGGCACACUGGGACUGAGACACUGCCCAGACUCCUACGGGAGGCUGCAGUCGAGAAUCUUCCGCAAUGGGCGAAAGCCUGACGGAGCGACACCGCGUGCAGGAUGAAGGCCUUCGGGUUGUAAACUGCUGUCACGUUUUAGGAACGAACGGGCGUUAAUAGCGCUCGGACUGACCAAGGCGAGAGGAAGCACCGGCUAACUCUGUGCCAGCAGCCGCGGUAAGACAGAGGGUGCAAACGUUGUUCGGAAUUACUGGGCAUAAAGAGCACGUAGGUGGUGCGCUAAGUCACGUGUGAAAUCCCCCGGCUCAACCGGGGAAUUGCGCGUGAUACUGGCGGACUCGAGGCGGGUAGGGGUGAGCGGAACUCCAGGUGGAGCGGUGAAAUGCGUAGAUAUCUGGAGGAACACCGGUGGCGAAAGCGGCUCACUGGACCUGAUCUGACACUGAGGUGCGAAAGCUAGGGUAGCAAACGGGAUUAGAUACCCUAGUAGUCC